This 725-nucleotide ribosomal RNA is filed under the name Stenotrophomonas maltophilia. Its description in RNAcentral is "bacterial SSU rRNA". It matches the Rfam family "Bacterial small subunit ribosomal RNA", at positions 93 to 815 of the family's 1533-position model. Lineage: Bacteria; Pseudomonadati; Pseudomonadota; Gammaproteobacteria; Lysobacterales; Lysobacteraceae. The record is from RNAcentral.
GAGUGGCGGAUGGGUGAGGAAUACAUCGGAAUCUACUUUUUCUUGGGGGAUAACGUAUGGAAACUUACGCUAAUACCGCAUACGACCUACGGGUGAAAGCAGGGGACCUUCGGGCCUUGCGCGAUUGAAUGAGCCGAUGUCGGAUUAUCUAGUUGGCGGGGUAAAGGCCCACCAAGGCGACGAUCCGUAUCUGGUCUGAGAGGAUGAUCACCCACACUGGAACUGAGACACGGUCCAGACUCCUACGGGAGGCAGCAGUGGGGAAUAUUGGACAAUGGGCGCAAGCCUGAUCCAGCCAUACCGCGUGGGUGAAAAAGGCCUUCGGGUUGUAAAGCCCUUUUGUUGGGAAAGAAAUCCAGCUGGCUAAUACCCGGUUGGGAUGACGGUACCCAAAGAAUAAGCACCGGCUAACUUCGUGCCAGCAGCCGCGGUAAUACGAAGGGUGCAAGCGUUACUCGGAAUUACUGGGCGUAAAGCGUGCGUAGGUGGUCGUUUAAGUCCGUUGUGAAAGCCCUGGGCUCAACCUGGGAACUGCAGUGGAUACUGGGCGACUAUAGUGUGGUAGAGGGUAGCGGAAUUCCUGGUGUAUCAGUGAAAUGCGUAUAGAUCACGAGGAACAUCCAUGGCGAAGGCAGCUACCUGGACCAACACUGACACUGAGGCACGAAAGCGUGGGGAGCAAACAGGAUUAUAUACCCUGGUAGUCCACGCCCUAACGAUGCGAA